Molecule: ribosomal RNA, 492 nt
Filed under: uncultured bacterium
Lineage: Bacteria
Description: partial 16S ribosomal RNA
Rfam family: Bacterial small subunit ribosomal RNA
Source: RNAcentral
AGUGAACGCUGGCGGUAGGCCUAACACAUGCAAGUCGAACGGCAGCACAGUAAGAGCUUGCUCUUACGGGUGGCGAGUGGCGGACGGGUGAGGAAUACAUCGGAACCUACUUUUUCGCGGGGGAUAACGUAGGGAAACUUACGCUAAUACCGCAUACGACCUACGGGUGAAAGCAGGGGAUCUUCGGACCUUGCACGAUUGAAUGAGCCGAUGUCGGAUUAGCUAGUUGGCGGGGUAAAGGCCCACCAAGGCGACGAUCCGUAGCUGGUCUGAGAGGAUGAUCAGCCACACUGGAACUGAGACACGGUCCAGACUCCUACGGGAGGCAGCAGUGGGGAAUAUUGGACAAUGGGCGCAAGCCUGAUCCAGCCAUACCGCGUGGGUGAAGAAGGCCUUCGGGUUGUAAAGCCCUUUUGUUGGGAAAGAAAAGCAGCAGGUUAAUACCCCGCUGUUCUGACGGUACCCAAAGAAUAAGCACCGGCUAACUUCGUG